Molecule: ribosomal RNA, 307 nt
Filed under: Paraclisis miriceps
Lineage: Eukaryota; Metazoa; Arthropoda; Insecta; Psocodea; Philopteridae
Description: partial 12S ribosomal RNA
Source: RNAcentral
AGGUAACGAAAAUGUUUUGUGUGGAGUAUAUUUUAUAUUUCUUGAAAAACUUAAUUGCGUGGCGGCUAAACAACUAUAUAGAGUGAUAUGACUUAUAAAUCGAAUUCACGCGAAUAUCUUAUCUAAUUUUGAAUUAAUUUCAUUUUACACACCGCCGUCGGAAGGACAAGUUAAUAGACUUCUCCUUUUUUCUUUUUAUAAGAAAUAAGUCAGGUCAACGUGUAGAUUAUAAUUAGGUCAAGUUGUAUCUCAUUAUUAUUAAUAUGUCUUUAUAAUUUGAAAAGUAUAAAGUAAUUGAAUUUAUAAG